This 28-nucleotide small RNA is filed under the name Bombyx mori (domestic silkworm). RNAcentral describes it as "ovarian small RNA-23100". The record is from RNAcentral. Lineage: Eukaryota; Metazoa; Arthropoda; Insecta; Lepidoptera; Bombycidae.
UAGUUAAAUUUGUACAUUUUGUAAAUGC